RNAcentral lists this ribosomal RNA (301 nucleotides) under uncultured bacterium. Its description in RNAcentral is "partial 16S ribosomal RNA". It matches the Rfam family "Bacterial small subunit ribosomal RNA", at positions 509 to 807 of the family's 1533-position model. The record is from RNAcentral.
CAGUAGCCGCGGUAAUACAGAGGGUGCGAGCGUUAAUCGGAUUUACUGGGCGUAAAGCGUGCGUAGGCGGCUUCUUAAGUCGGAUGUGAAAUCCCUGAGCUUAACUUAGGAAUUGCAUUCGAUACUGGGAAGCUAGAGUAUGGGAGAGGAUGGUAGAAUUCCAGGUGUAGCGGUGAAAUGCGUAGAGAUCUGGAGGAAUACCGAUGGCGAAGGCAGCCAUCUGGCCUAAUACUGACGCUGAGGUACAAAAGCAUGGGGAGCAAACAGGAUUAGAUACCCCUGUAGUCCCUGUCUCUUAUAC